This is a non-coding RNA of Cherax quadricarinatus, 385 nucleotides long. Lineage: Eukaryota; Metazoa; Arthropoda; Malacostraca; Decapoda; Parastacidae. The record is from RefSeq and is a predicted model, not a curated record.
UGUGGACAUGAUCGUUGACGCUCUACAAAUAUUCUUAACGACCCUAAGUAUAAGGAAAACGUGUUGAGGAUGUCAGUGCCACUGCGGGAUCAGCCUGUACCACCCACGGAACUGGCAGUGUUCUGGACUGAGUACGUCAUCCGUCACGAGGUGCGCCCCAGCUGAGGUCACCAGCGGCACAGCUCUCCUGGGUGGAGUUCCUCAUGCUGGACGUGAUCUUCCUCCUCCACCUGGCUAUGAUCAUCCUUCUGUUCAUUCUGCGUCGCAUCUUCAGAGUCAUCACUGCUAAAAUCUUUGGCAGUGAUGGCAAGAUGAAGAAGAAAAAUGAUUAGAAGCAUCUUUCAUGUAGGAAGGAGUAGAUUGUAUUAAAAGUUGUUACACUGUU